RNAcentral lists this ribosomal RNA (253 nucleotides) under uncultured bacterium. Its description in RNAcentral is "partial 16S ribosomal RNA". It matches the Rfam family "Bacterial small subunit ribosomal RNA", at positions 524 to 776 of the family's 1533-position model. The record is from RNAcentral.
UACAGAGGUCUCAAGCGUUGUUCGGAUUCAUUGGGCGCAAAGGGUGCGUAGGCGGCGCGGUAAGUCGGGUGUGAAAUCUCGGAGCUUAACUCCGAAACUGCAUUCGAUACUGCCGUGCUUGAGGACUGGAGAGGAGACUGGAAUUUACGGUGUAGCGGUGAAAUGCGUAGAUAUCGUAAGGAAGACCAGUGGCGAAGGCGGGUCUCUGGACAGUUCCUGACGCUGAGGCACGAAGGCCAGGGGAGCAAACGGG